RNAcentral lists this unclassified non-coding RNA (223 nucleotides) under plant metagenome. Its description in RNAcentral is "partial contains small subunit ribosomal RNA, internal transcribed spacer 1, and 5.8S ribosomal RNA". The record is from RNAcentral.
UUUCCGUAGGUGAACCUGCGGAAGGAUCAUUAAAGAGAAUAUGCCCUUCGGGGUAGAUCUCCCACCCUUUGUUUAUAUUACCUUUGUUGCUUUGGCAGGCCCGUCUCCGGACCACCGGCUUCGGCUGGUCAGUGCUUGCCAGAGGACCCAAAACUCUUAUUAUUAAUGUCGUCUGAGUACUAUAUAAUAGUUAAAACUUUCAACAACGGAUCUCUUGGUUCUG